This is a small nucleolar RNA of Jaculus jaculus (lesser Egyptian jerboa), 134 nucleotides long. RefSeq annotates it as small nucleolar RNA SNORA5. The transcript has a single exon. NCBI's taxonomy places the organism in Eukaryota, Metazoa, Chordata, Mammalia, Rodentia, Dipodidae. The record is from RefSeq and is a predicted model, not a curated record.
GGCACCUGUGUCAAAUUCAGUGCCUGCUCUACCAAUGGCAGGCACUAGCCCAGAAGGCUGCCAUAGAAACCCUGUGACUCACGGGCCCUGUUUCAUUCGCUUGGGCUCAGGGAUAAAUCUGGUCACAGACAUCA